Molecule: long non-coding RNA, 902 nt
Filed under: Amphibalanus amphitrite
Lineage: Eukaryota; Metazoa; Arthropoda; Thecostraca; Balanomorpha; Balanidae
Description: uncharacterized LOC122394459
Source: RNAcentral
GAAGUAGUACCUGGAUCGGCAACUCCUCGAUGUUUGUGACCACCGCUAGGUGGCAGUGGUGUCGAGCGCUAAGGACGCGGGGGAGCGGGUGCUAUUCAAAACAAUGGUCGGCGUCGCGUCGUAGGAUCGUUUGCCUUGUUUUUUGAAAAGUUAAGCCCCUUUGGAGCAGAUUGGAAGGUUUCAGAAGAUGGAGGAAGAUGGCAAGAUCAAAGAGAUGGAUUCAGUUUCCACGGUGUGCUGACUUGAAUUGGCAUCCUGUGAUUUGUGAUGUGAAUUAUGAUGCACGCACACGCAGGUGCACGCCCACUGCGGACACGUGUGACGUAACGGCAGCAGGCGGACGAGGUGUGAACUGGCUCGACCGAAAAUGUUUAAGGUAUCACAGCGUUUGUAAGUGACUAACAUACCCACUACGCCCUACGGGCAUACCCAUUGAGCGGAUAAUGCGUUCGUGUGCAUCGUGUUUGCAUUUAUUCCCGAUAUACUCUGGUGGGAGAUGUGAAUUGGAAACCAACUUGGUGCUACGACACCGUUUAAGGCAUGUGGCACGUCGUUUCUCGAAACCUAUCUAUCAGUUUAUGCAAUAAUAUGCAUUGUAUACAUUGUGUGUCAUCUUUCACCUUAGUUGUCAUUGAACCUGUGUUAAAUUCUGAACUUCAGGCCGAGACAGACUAUUUCCACAGUCAGGAAAUCGCACACGAGAGCCUAUUCAAAUCCAUUAAGUUGCAAUAGCAUCAAUCGCACGCAAGGAGGUGCGUGUUAUGGAUGCGAGUGCGACCGGGGUUUAUUUGAAUAGGCUCUCAGUCUUGCACAUGAUUUCUGACUGCGGAAAGAGUCGGUUUCAGCCUGUACUCAGUAGGUAAUUCGCUCAUGCGACGGCAAAUAUAAGUUCAAUAUGGAAA